UUUCUCAUAAGUCGAGGAAACAACCCCACAUAAAGUAAUCUUUUGAUGGCUUAGUGCGAAGUGUUGUAUCUUCAUUCCCGUGUUUCAAAAGUUGCGCUACUCAUUUAUUUUUUCGAAGAGAAGCAAGCCAAUUUCAUAGCUUGAACUUUGUACAGAAUAUUUAGCGAGGUACUGCUUAAAGAGGAAAAAAAUCAAGGAAGUUCCCCAGAAAUUACGUUGACUAGUUUUCGAAAGAUAAUUUAAAGUAUGACAGGUAGCUAUUUUCUAUUUCUCUGCAAAGCUCACAUUCCUCUAAUCACUCUUUAUCGAAUAUUUGUCAUCUCUUUAAUUUUACCAUUUCACUAUUUUUCUAGGGUCUGCUCAAGUAUCUGUCUCUGACUGUAAAGUGAAAUACUACAAUGCUCAUCAAACAAAGUCCAUGAUCUUCUCAGACUUCAUGAAUUACUGGGAAAAAUACUCAAGUGAUUGUUGGCCUACAAAUGAAGCAUGUUUGUACCUGAAGGAUUGGCAUUUGAUGAAGAAUUUUCCCACAGAAUCAGUUUAUGUUUGUGCCUUAUCAGUUUUCGUCCGAUUGGUUAAAUGAGUAUUAUAUGGAUCAUCCUCAUUUGGACGAUGACUAUAGAUUUGUGUACAUGGGCCCCAAAGCACCUGGUAUGUUGAAUUGAAACUUGUAUUUACUAUAGUUAAAACAGGUAACUAGGCAAAUGAAAAAAUAUAAAAAAAAGUUCAGAAGCUUUGGUGUUUUGGAGCUUAUGAAUGAAGUUUUUAAGUAAAUUAUUUACCUACAAAGUCCACCUUGAGACAAGUUGUGCUGAUGUCAUUCUUAACUGGACAUUCAUGUAGUAGCAGCUGUAUUAAGUAAAACUGAAGAGAUUAACUGUCAUUCUCGUUCCAAUUUUGCCAAAACUUUGUUCACUUCAUUCAUUGGAUGUCUCAGUGGAAGGAAGUUAAUUUCAGUUCCAGUAAAAAAUUUUGUGGAUACUGUCAUGCAUUCUAUGCGAAGUUGAUUUUCAUUGAACUUUUCCUAGGCAAAUUCAAAGUUUUCAGUAGAGGUUGAUACAGUGUUUAGUAAGUAAAGACAUAUUCAAACCUAGAUGCUUGGUGGCUUAGGCUUGUACUCUAUUUGCUUUUUAGGAAUCUGGGGGUAUGGUCUUCUAAUAGGAUGGAAAAAUGUGGAAGUUGGAAAGAACUGUUGGUGACAUUUUAAAACAGUGCCUUGAAAUUUUUUAUUUUUGCAAGGAACAAGUAGGCUUUCUUGCAACAUAAUGAUUACAUUUUUGUAAAUCUAGGAAGGUAGAGCAAUGGCUGAAAUAUAUUUUUGCUGGUAUUGCAUUCCAAUUUUCAGUUUAAUUUCAGGAAGUCAAUCCCUUAUUUUAAAUGGAAUUUAAGUUUCAAAUUGAAUUGUUUUCCCUCUUCAACAUUUAGAAUGGCCCUGAAUGAUGGCCGCAGCAUUAACACCUCAAAACUGCUGAACAAAAAUUAAGGGUUGAUU
This 1492-nucleotide long non-coding RNA is filed under the name Bemisia tabaci. Its description in RNAcentral is "lncRNA ENSSWEETPG003251". Lineage: Eukaryota; Metazoa; Arthropoda; Insecta; Hemiptera; Aleyrodidae. The record is from RNAcentral.